AAGUAAUUCGCUUAAAGAUGAGCCCGCGCGAGAUUAGCUAGUUGGUGAGGUAAUGGCUCACCAAGGCUACGAUCUCUAGCUGGUCUGAGAGGAUGAUCAGCCACACUGGAACUGAGACACGGUCCAGACUCCUACGGGAGGCAGCAGUAGGGAAUAUUGCGCAAUGGGGGAAACCCUGACGCAGCGACGCCGCGUGAGUGAUGAAGGACUUCGGUUCGUAAAGCUCUGUCGCAGGGGAAUAACACCG
This 247-nucleotide ribosomal RNA is filed under the name uncultured Bdellovibrio sp. Its description in RNAcentral is "partial 16S ribosomal RNA". It matches the Rfam family "Bacterial small subunit ribosomal RNA", at positions 208 to 454 of the family's 1533-position model. Lineage: Bacteria; Pseudomonadati; Bdellovibrionota; Bdellovibrionia; Bdellovibrionales; Pseudobdellovibrionaceae. The record is from RNAcentral.